Molecule: long non-coding RNA, 782 nt
Organism: Daphnia pulicaria
Lineage: Eukaryota; Metazoa; Arthropoda; Branchiopoda; Diplostraca; Daphniidae
Exons: 3
Source: RefSeq, a predicted model, not a curated record
AUGCUUCUACAAUGAGGGGAAGGCAGCAUGACAUUUGCUUGGUGUCUCAUCUGUUAGUGAUUCCAGAUUGUUGACGAAAUAUCGUCUUCUGCUACCUCUACGUAUCACCCUUUUAGCUUUAUUCCUGUCAUUCUGCACUGAGCCUUACCUGUGAUAAAUCUUUCUUUUUUUCUGUAGGUUUCGAUGGCCAUUGAUGAUUGGAGAGCAGCAUAGGAAUGCGACAGCUUUGUCUGGGUCUGGGCUUAAUGCCCUACUAGAUAGAAUCUUCUUGGGAAACUUCAUCUGCUCCUAAGUUACACAAUACACCUCUUAAGCUACUUCCAAAAAGCAAAACAAAUUUAGAUUCGGAUUUUGAGAAAUUUCAGCUGACGCUUUUGUGUGACCUGGUGCUUGUGACAAUAGAGAUCAAAUGGGUCAAUCCAAUAAUGUGAUACAGAGCUUGUAAACAGUUAAUGGCCAAAUUAUCUCGCAGCUGCCUGUAAAUUUCUCAAAAAUGUCGUGCCUCAAGCGUCUUGCUGCCUGUAGAUUUCCGUAAUCUAUACUUCAUUGAGAUCACAAUUCACAACAAAGUUUGAGCUUCAUUGCUGUCAUGCAGAUGGUUUUGUUGCAACCACCCGGUGAAAAGGGAGUUCGAAUUGAGUUGCAGCUGCUGCAGGCAGUCUGUAGCGGUGAUGUCAUCCUGAAGUGUUCUCAAGGUGUCAGUCUAGGCUGAAGCUAAUCAAAGUGUGCUGUUCAAGUCUUGUGAGUGUAAAAAGUAUUAAUUUGCACUCAAUUGAAAAUGU